GAUGUUAAGUAUUAAGUAAACAGUCUAUCAUUUUGAAACCUUAGCAGCAAACAUAAUAUACACAGAGGUUAAACACAUUCUUGCCAUCUGUUAAAUAUAAAUGCAUGUAGGUAAAUAUAUAUACAUCCUUCAGUAAACUGUAAGAGCACAAAACUAGACAACAGAUCUUCACCAUAUUCAACUUACUUGAUCUGAAAAUAAUAUACUUUUCCAACUUUCAACACAUAUACUGAUUUCUUAAUUCACCUUACAAAAUAAAUUUACACAAUUCAACCUGUAUUAUUUCAGGGCUAAAUAUUAGUUGCAUUAAUUUAUUAAACAGGGACAUCAUUAUAAGGGGGCUUAGAAAUUUUUUCUCAAGUAGAAAAGGAGAACUGAACAUGAUUUCCUUACCUUAAACUGAAUUGUUCCUUGGCAUUCCCUAAUGAUAAUGUACGGCAGAUAAUUAACCAUAAAGUACAUUCUGGGACUCAAAGGACUUUGUCUUUGACAAAAUCAUAU
RNAcentral lists this long non-coding RNA (501 nucleotides) under Bos taurus (domestic cattle). Its description in RNAcentral is "long non-coding RNA NONBTAT001719". The record is from RNAcentral. Lineage: Eukaryota; Metazoa; Chordata; Mammalia; Artiodactyla; Bovidae.